AGUUGAACACUGCCCGGCACACAGCAAGCCCUCAUUAAAUACUCUUUGAAUGAGUAGAUGGUAACAGCUGAUAUCCCUCAAUCAUAGGGUUUAUACAAACUUCUGCCUGAAUUUAGAAUUUUCUCCCCCAGACUUGGUCCUCUUCCAGGGAUCCUUCUCCCAGCAAACAGCACCACCAUCUAGCCGUUUGCACAACCAGAGAACUAGGAGUCACCAUCCGCUCGCUUCCUCCCACACAUCGUGUCCAGCGCAUGCCCAAGGCUGUCUCUCAAAUCUUUCUUUCCAUCCCCGGUGACCCUGGCCCACGUUCAGAUGGCGUUCUCACCUCAACCGCUGCAAGAGCGCCCUCCCUGGUCGGCCCCCAGCCCUGAAGCGGGGUCCCCUCCCCAUGCUGCAGCCCGCGGGGGUGGGGUGGGGGGUGUCUCCGGUUCUCACCAGGCCCCCGGCCUCCUGAAACCCCUUAAUGUUCAUUCCUUUGGGGCUAAAGUCCCAACUCAGACACAGCCUGGCUUCCUCCUGCCUCGUCUCUCACACACCACCCCCUCUCGCCUCGGAGUCUCGCAGCCGCCCCUCCACUGACCUUCCCGAAGUCCCUCCAGCCGCAGGACCUCCCUCCGCCUGCGACCUCUCACCUCAGGCCUCAGCCCCGCCUCGCUCUUGCUAAGGCUCCUCCGACGACCACCACGACCAAGUCGGAUUCCCCCCCGCAGAGGCUCUUGUAGCAACACCUGCUUUUCCUUCGUGGCCCCGGGGGCUCUUACGCAGAUCUACGUCUGCUUCUGAGUUGGUUCUGUCACCCCUGACUCGGGCCCUUGGAUCUUUGAAUCCACAGAUAUUGAUAAGAGGCCAGGAAUUCACACAAGGCUUUAGUGGGGCUCGUGCUGCAGCAGAGAAUGAAAACACAGAGCAGGUGCCCUGCGUGCUCCGAGGACGGUGGGCUGGUCAAUUCAAUAGCGUGGGGGGAGGAUGGGUGGGUCAGGCAGGAAGGGUGGCUUAGGCGGCCUCCCUGCGCCCCCCCCCCCCCAGUGGUGCUGUGUGCAGGGACCACACGCAGUGCCCUGCUUUUGCUCUGGGCACCUCCAAAAUGGCAGUUUGUUUGUAGGGGGGUUUUUGUAUCCGAUGGUUCCUCGUUGCCCAGAGGGCAGGCCCUUAUAGUGUCUGCCUUCUGCUGCUGGAGGUGACAGGUGUCCAGGAGCAGGCACUCCAGUCAAGGGUCCCGGGCCCCAGCCUGUCUCAGUUUGGUUGUCCAUCCGUCUGCAAGCCUGGCGUCUGUUUUUUUGGUCGUCGUCCAUCUCUGCCGUCCCUCCACUGCCCAGCCAGGGAUGGCAGAGUGUGUUUUCAACAAAUGUGUGUUCAAUUUAUUUCAGGAACUAGUUGAUUAAUCAAUAAAUUCACAUGUCACCCAGAUUACUGUCAACCUCCUCGGGCAGGGCCCCGCCUUAAUGCACCACCACAGGCCGCCGGCAGCCAGGGCACCCGUGGGGCUGAGCCUGGGGAAGAGUGUAAGGAACAUUCCGAGGGACAGUGACCUCCGGGGGGUGAGGGUGGGCGUGUAACUCCUGUGAGGGGGUGAGGCAAGCAGGACAGGAAAGGGCAAGAGCUGAGGACAUGAAUCACGGAUUGUACUGAAGCGAUGUCCUAUUUUGAGGCAAGAGGACCCAGCUUUUGUGUGUAUGUCAUUUAUUUAUUUAUCUGUCUUUUAAGGGCCGCACUCACAGCACAUGGAGAUGCCCAGGCUAGGGGUUCAAUCGGAGCUACAGCCACCCGGCCUCCACCACAGCCACAACAAGAGGGGAUCCAAGCUGUGUCUGCGACCUACACCACAGCUCACAGCAAUGCCGGAUCCGUAACCCACUGAGUAAGGCCAGGGAUCGAACCUGUGUCCUCAUGGAUGCCAGUCAGAUUCGUUUCCGCUGAGCCACGACGGGAGCGCCAUGUGUGUGUGUCUCAGAUGGUCUUCAGUGGCUAAGUGUCCCGCCAAGUGGCCCCAAGACUUCAAGGGGGAAACGAGUCGCCGUCUCGUCCUCUCCACUGCAUCCACCCUGUGAGGGGAGGUACCCUGCCCCCUGCCUCACCUGCUGUGCCCUUUCCUAACAAAGCGCCACAAACCGGGAGGCUUCGAACAACAGAAAUGGAUUGUCCAGCUGCAGCUGCGCUGGAUCCUGUUAACCCACUGCGCCGCCGAAGUCAGAUUCUUAACCCACUGAGCCGCAGCGGGAACUCCACCGGUGAUAAGUUUCAACUGGUUCGAUGAUGAUAGAACAUGAAUUCAGUUCUCUCUCUCGGGCCUUCUUUUAUACGCCGCUUCCUGGUGAGAUCAUCUUGCCUCCCAGAACCUGCUGGGGUUUGGGAAGCCGAUUUGUUUUGACUGAUGCUCAGAGCUGGUCACGCCAGCGUGAUCCUACCGUGGACAUGGUUUCCUCUGAUGGGAGGCCGACUGCUGGUCACGCCGGCAUGGUUUUGCAGAGAAGAUGAUUUUCUUCCACCGAAUGGGGUAACUCGUGCGUGACCAGGAUCACUGCAGAGACACGCCUCAAGAUGUGCAGGUUGGCCCCAGCCGCCUCGGAGGACGCAGUCACUCGGGCGGACUCAGAGAGCCUAACAUUUCAUUUAAGCAGUCCGUAAAUUCUGCUGUGUGCCUACUCUGUCUUAGGCUCUGUGUUGGGCACCAUACGCUCCCCUCAAGGAGCUCACAUUUUAUGGGGGAAGAAAAACCAUUGCAACCAAUGGGCUCAGGGCUUCAAGGGAACCGUCGGUUGCCGAGGAGGAGGGGGGCAGGGGAGGGAAGCUGGGAGUUUGGGAUUCACAGAGGCACAGCAGAAAUGACAAGGGCCUACUGUGGCUCCAAUUCCACCCCUAGCCUGGGAACUGCCAUAUGCUGAAGGUGUGGCCCUCAAAAGCAGAAAGUAAACAAACAAAGCGCUAAAAUACCACUAACCGAGACUUCAGUAGCUGCAAAAGCAUCCUUCAAGGAUAAAGGGAAAACAAAGAUAUUCUCAAACUAAUAAAGCCAGAAGAAUUCGCCAUCAGCACAUCUGCACAAAAGGGAAUGCGCCAAGAGUGUUUUCAGGCGGAAAGGAUGGUUCCAGAUGGAAGCCAGAAGAUAACACAUCAACAACAGAGGCAGAUUAAUAAAGAGAGGAGGUCCCGUUGUGGUGCAGUGGAAAGGAACCCAACUAGGAACCAUGAGGCUGCAGGUGCGAUCCCGGGCCUCCCUCAGUGGGUUAAGGAUCCGGCGUUGCCGUGAGCUGUGGUGUAGGUCACAGAUGCGCCUCGGAUCUGGCAUUGCUGUGGCUGUGGUCUAGGCCAGUGGCUACAGCUUCGAUUAGACCCCCAGACUGGGAACCUCCAUAUGCCGCAGGUGCGGCUCUAAAAGAUAAAAAGCCAAAAAAAAAAAAAAAAAAGACUAGAUUUUACCCUCCUGCCUGAAAGAGCCGCAACAAUAAAACUGGACAAAACGAAUGACAUAAAGGUUUUCGGGGCACUGGGUAUGGUGAAUGGGAUCCUAAGAUAGGCAGAAAAUAUGCAAAUCCUACCACGGUCCCUACAGCGGGGCGGGAGAGGGGCAGGGUUUCCCGGCCACCCCACAGGCCGAGUGAACCCAGAUGAAGCCUGGAAGUGCCCCUGAAUUGAGGAGCUGGGUCUGGGAGUCUGAACAGGCCAGCUGGCGAGCGCGCACAGGGCAGAGGGCUAGAGAUGAAAGAGCUGCAGAGAGAGAGGAGUGUGGGGCUUUGCAGAGGGUCCCCCUCAUUGUUCAGCUGCGUCUUGAUCAACACGUGCUUUGGAGUCCCGACUCUGCCACUUCCUAGCAGUCAGCGUGGCUGUUCCGAGCACCUGCCCUGUGCCAGAUUCUGAAGGCGGACAUGCGAAACGGGAGCUGAGGCAGAUCUGCUCCUGCCCUUCCGGGGCUCUGGGUGCACGUGAGGAGAGAUGCUGCCUGCACCCAGCAGGCACAACCACCCAGGUGUCUAAGCUGAGAGCCAGAGGAACGGUUCAGGGCGGAUGUGAAGAGAAAAGAGGGUGGCUGUUCUAACCUGCACGGCCCCUCCCCACCCUUGACCCCAGCACGGCGCGGAUGUGGAGGGGCAGUGGUGUGGGAGACACAGACCGGCUCCCCAGGUCUAGGGGGCAGUGUGAGUCCUAGGUGGGGCCUGAGGAAGCAAAGCCUGCCCCCCCGCCCCCGAGGAAGUGGGGAGACCCUGGACCAGGACCUGGGAGGUGCUCCCCAUCCCUGCUCCGCCGCUGGAUGGUUGUGUGGGCUUAGAGGUCUCUGCCCUUUCCUGGUCCCAGUUCCCUCAUCUGACCGG
This 4307-nucleotide long non-coding RNA is filed under the name Sus scrofa (pig). RNAcentral's name for it is "lncRNA (ENSSSCG00000045388.2)". The record is from RNAcentral. Lineage: Eukaryota; Metazoa; Chordata; Mammalia; Artiodactyla; Suidae.